AUGACGACGGCGACGGCGACGGCCGCGCCCCUCACCGGGAUGGACAAGUACGAGGAGGUGCGGGACAUCGGGUCGGGAAACUUCGGGGUGGCCCGGCUGAUGCGCCACCGCGAGAACGACGGGCUCGUCGCCGUCAAGCUCAUCGAGCGCGGCCACCGGAUUGACGAGAAUGUGUACCGGGAGAUCGUCAACCACCGCUCGCUUCGGCACCCCAACAUCAUCCAGUUCAUAGAGGUGAUCCUAACACCGACGCAUCUUGCAAUCGUGAUGGAGUAUGCGGCGGGUGGCGAGCUCUUUGAUCGGAUCGUCGAUCGUGGCCGGUUUAGCGAGGACGAGGCCAGAUAUUUCUUCCAGCAGCUGAUCUGCGGCGUAAGCUACUGCCAUCACAUGCAAAUAUGCCAUAGAGAUUUGAAGCUGGAGAAUGUUCUCCUGGAUGGUAGCCCGGCUCCCCGGCUCAAGAUAUGCGACUUUGGGUACUCCAAGUCGUCAGUACUACAUUCAAGGCCCAAAUCUGCAGUGGGGACGCCAGCAUACAUUGCACCGGAAGUUCUUCGUCGCCAGGAAUAUGAUGGGAAGAUGGCAGAUGUAUGGUCCUGUGGGGUGACUCUCUAUGUCAUGCUUGUGGGAGCCUACCCAUUUGAAGACCCGGAUGACCCCAAGAAUAUUAAGAAGAUCAUUCAGCGAAUAGCAGCAGUCGACUAUACCAUCCCAGACAAUAUUCUCAUAUCUGCUGAUUGCAGACAGCUCAUCUCUCUUAUCUUUGUGAGCAAUCCAACAAAGAGAAUCACAAUGAAGGAGAUAAAGAGCCACCCAUGGUUCUUGAAGAACUUGCCGCGGGAGCUCACAGAGGAAGCUCAAGCAGACUACUACGAGAGGAGCAGCAGCGUGCCUUCUUUCUCGAAGCAAACAACCCAAGAGAUCAUGGAGAUUGUGCAAGACGCAAGGAAGAAGCCGAGAUCAAGCACAUCAGGCUAUGGCUACGCGGACGAGUUAUCGGAUGAUGAGGAAAAGAAUGCGAAGGUCAGUGUACCAGAACAGAAUGACGAAGAAGAUGAGUGCGACAAGAAGGUUAGGGAGGUUCUUGAGAGCGGGGAGCUGGAUAUGAGCGCGUUGCACAUCUAA
Molecule: ribosomal RNA, 1122 nt
Filed under: Triticum aestivum (bread wheat)
Lineage: Eukaryota; Viridiplantae; Streptophyta; Magnoliopsida; Poales; Poaceae
Description: partial small subunit ribosomal RNA
Source: RNAcentral